Molecule: unclassified non-coding RNA, 329 nt
Filed under: Hevea brasiliensis (rubber tree)
Lineage: Eukaryota; Viridiplantae; Streptophyta; Magnoliopsida; Malpighiales; Euphorbiaceae
Source: RNAcentral
AACUGGAUAAUGUUAUGAAACAACCUGCGGAAGGUUUCUUGAUUUAAGCCAGACAUGCUUCUAGGCUGUUUAAAGAACCUGGCAAUCUUGAUAUACUUUUGUUCCAAGCAGUGAAGUAAGAAAAAGGAGGUAUUUUAUCAUUGUUGUUGUUUGUCUUUGCAACUUGUUGCCUGUAUUAACAACCUGAAAGGGAGGAAGGAAACCUCUGUAUUUAGGUUAUCAGAUGUUUUACAUCCAUUUCAUGUUAGAAGCAGCACACUUUGCCUUUUCCAGCUGAGUAAUUGGGGCAGUGGACUACACAAUUUAUGAUCUUGAUGAAUGCUGAUUUG